CAGCAGCCGCGGUAAUACAAAGGGUGCGAGCGUUGCUCGGAAUUACUGGGCUUAAAGGGUGCGUAGGCUGAUAUGCAAGUGCCUUGUGAAAUCCCAUAGCUCAACUCUGGAACUGCUUGGCAAACUGCAUGUCUUGAGGUCGGUAUGGGUUGCCGGAACGGUUGGUGGAGCGGUGAAAUGCGUAGAUAUCAACCGGAACGCCAAAGGUGAAGACAAGCAGCUGGGCCUAUUCUGACGCUGAGGCACGAAAGCGUGGGGAGCAAACAGGAUUAGAUACCCCGGUAGUCCACGCCCUAAACGAUGUACACUAGAUCGUAGACGUUUUCACACGCCCACGGUCGAAGCAAAAGCGAUAAGUGUACCGCCUGGGGAGUACGGUCGCAAGGCUAAAACUCAAAGGAAUUGACGGGGGCUCACACAAGCGGUGGAGCAUGUGGCUUAAUUCGAAGCAACGCGAAGAACCUUAUCUAAGGCUUGACAUGCACGGAUUAACUCCGUGAAACAGGGAUCCACACUUCGCAAGAAGUGGAACGUGCACAUGUGCUGCAUGGCUGUCGUCAGCUCGUGCUGUGAGGUGUCGCGUUAAGUCGCUUAACGAGCGAAACCCCUAUCUUCAGUUGACAACUGGUAAUGGCAGGGACUCUGGACAGACUGUCAGUGUCAAACCGGAGGAAGGUGUGGAUGACGUCAAGUCCUCAUGGCCCUUA
Molecule: ribosomal RNA, 707 nt
Filed under: uncultured bacterium CLEAR-23
Lineage: Bacteria; Pseudomonadati; Planctomycetota; Planctomycetia; Planctomycetales
Description: bacterial SSU rRNA
Rfam family: Bacterial small subunit ribosomal RNA
Source: RNAcentral